Molecule: ribosomal RNA, 442 nt
Filed under: uncultured bacterium
Lineage: Bacteria
Description: partial 16S ribosomal RNA
Rfam family: Bacterial small subunit ribosomal RNA
Source: RNAcentral
CCUACGGGUGGCAGCAGUAGGGAAUCUUUCACAAUGGGCGAAAGCCUGAAGGAGCAACGCCGCGUGCAGGAUGAAGGCCUUAGGGUUGUAAACUGCUUUUAUAAGCGAGGAAUAUGAUGGUAACUUAUGAAUAAGGAUCGGCUAACUACGUGCCAGCAGCCGCGGUCAUACGUAGGGUGCGAGCAUUAUUCGGAGUGACUGGGGGUAAAGAGUUGCGUAGGUGGGAUAAUAAGUAGCUAGGGAAAUCUGGUGGCUCAACCAACCAGUCUAUUAGCUAAACUGUUAAGCUCGUGGCCGUUAGAGGUAAGUGGAAGUACUAGUGUAGGGGUGAAAUCCGUAGAUAUUAGGAGGAACACCAAUUGCGUAGGCAGGUUACUGGGACGGUUCUGACGCUGAGGCACGAAAGCGUAGGGAGCAAACAGGAUUAGAUACCCCUGUAGUC